GUUUAGUUGUUAUAGUUUAGGAAUGAUAUGAGGUUUCUUAUAGCUUAUAUUGACAUGAUUUGUUUUUUUUGAGAAAAUAUUGACAUGAUUUUAGGAGUUUAAAAGAAAUUGUUUUCUCAAGAUAAGCAGUAAUAUUUUCUUCCCAGUCUUCGAAACCCCUUAAUUAUAAAAUGACAUCAUUCAUUGUUAUGAAUUGAUGAAAAUAUAUAAGGGUCCUUUCUCUUAACCUAUUUAUUGUUUUUAAACCCCUUUAUCCAAAUUGAAAACAGUUUCUUUCUAAUUCUUUAUAUAUCCGUCUGCAUUUUUAAAAAUAAU
Molecule: long non-coding RNA, 315 nt
Filed under: Brassica napus (rape)
Lineage: Eukaryota; Viridiplantae; Streptophyta; Magnoliopsida; Brassicales; Brassicaceae
Description: long non-coding RNA (BNAP_LNC002153)
Source: RNAcentral